Molecule: ribosomal RNA, 899 nt
Filed under: uncultured bacterium
Lineage: Bacteria
Description: bacterial SSU rRNA
Rfam family: Bacterial small subunit ribosomal RNA
Source: RNAcentral
GCAGUCGAGGGGUAUUAGUUUUCGGACUAAGAGACCGGCGCACGGGUGCGUAACGCGUAUGCAAUCUACCUUUUACAGAGGGAUAGCCCAGAGAAAUUUGGAUUAAUACCUCAUAGUAUAAUGACUCGGCAUCGAGAUAUUAUUAAAGUCACAACGGUAAAAGAUGAGCAUGCGUCCCAUUAGCUAGUUGGUAAGGUAACGGCUUACCAAGGCUACGAUGGGUAGGGGUCCUGAGAGGGAGAUCCCCCACACUGGUACUGAGACACGGACCAGACUCCUACGGGAGGCAGCAGUGAGGAAUAUUGGACAAUGGGCGCAAGCCUGAUCCAGCCAUGCCGCGUGCAGGAUGACGGUCCUAUGGAUUGUAAACUGCUUUUAUACGAGAAGAAACACUGCUUCGUGAAGCAGCUUGACGGUAUCGUAAGAAUAAGGAUCGGCUAACUCCGUGCCAGCAGCCGCGGUAAUACGGAGGAUCCAAGCGUUAUCCGGAAUCAUUGGGUUUAAAGGGUCCGUAGGCGGUUUAAUAGGUCAGUGGUGAAAGCCCAUCGCUCAACGGUGGAACGGCCAUUGAUACUGUUAAACUUGAAUUAUUAGGAAGUAACUAGAAUAUGUAGUGUAGCGGUGAAAUGCUUAGAGAUUACAUGGAAUACCAAUUGCGAAGGCAGGUUACUACUAAUGGAUUGACGCUGAUGGACGAAAGCGUGGGUAGCGAACAGGAUUAGAUACCCUGGUAGUCCACGCCGUAAACGAUGGAUACUAGCUGUUGGAAGCAAUUUCAGUGGCUAAGCGAAAGUGAUAAGUAUCCCACCUGGGGAGUACGUUCGCAAGAAUGAAACUCAAAGGAAUUGACGGGGGCCCGCACAAGCGGUGGAGCAUGUGGUUUAAUUCGAUGAUACGCG